GAGAGGACCGGAGUGGACGCAUCACUGGUGUUCGGGUUGUCAUGCCAAUGGCACUGCCCGGUAGCUAAAUGCGGAAGAGAUAAGUGCUGAAAGCAUCUAAGCACGAAACUUGCCCCGAGAUGAGUUCUCCCUGAGACUUUAAGUCUCCUGAAGGAACGUUGAAGACGACGACGUUGAUAGGCCGGGUGUGUAAGCGCAGCGAUGCGUUGAGCUAACCGGUACUAAUGAACCGUGAGGCUUAACCUUACAACGCCGAAG
This 258-nucleotide ribosomal RNA is filed under the name Klebsiella pneumoniae. Its description in RNAcentral is "partial 23S ribosomal RNA". It matches the Rfam family "Bacterial large subunit ribosomal RNA", at positions 2685 to 2925 of the family's 2925-position model. The record is from RNAcentral. RNAcentral also lists the same sequence under 1 other name. Lineage: Bacteria; Pseudomonadati; Pseudomonadota; Gammaproteobacteria; Enterobacterales; Enterobacteriaceae.